RNAcentral lists this long non-coding RNA (1311 nucleotides) under Equus asinus (donkey). RNAcentral describes it as "lncRNA (ENSEASG00005037567.1)". The record is from RNAcentral. Lineage: Eukaryota; Metazoa; Chordata; Mammalia; Perissodactyla; Equidae.
UUCCCUUCUGAUGCGUGUGGUCUUCCUGAUUCUGCCCUAGUCAGUUAGCUUCUGAAGAAUCUAAUCUUUCCCCACUGGAACCAUCCAGUAGAAUCUCAGAACCUUCCGAGGAGUCAUAAUUCUGCUAUUGACAUAGGAUGGGUGGAGCAACGUGUCACAGUGGGGUGGGUGGCAAUGGUUUCUCACCAUUUGUGCAGAGUUCAGAGCCUCCAUGGGUUUGUGUGUUUCAUGGCUGAGUCUACGCUUGGUAGCAGUAGGUUCAAUGGAUCUGAUUUCUGGAAGAGAAUGCUAUGAAGAAAUAAAUUAGUGAAGGAGAUGAGGAAAACAAGGACGAGAGAGAUUAAAUGUUCUACUGGGAUUAAAAAGAAGAUUAUGAAAGUCUCCCAUAUCUGAGACCAUGCCCCUCAACAUUUUCUGGUUCAUUCUUCUGUCUAAAGUGCAAUAGGAAAAAGGAAUUUCCUCAAUUAUAACAUGUUGCUGGUAUUAUGGAGCCAUUUUUCAGUGUAACCUGCACGUUGGGGAUAUAGUUUUUAUUUUCAGUGAGAUCGUUUCUUCUGAGGGCACACCUACUCCUGCUUCCCGCCAAGCUGGCCGCACUGUCAGACAUCGCCUAGUGGAAUAUUGGAGUGGAUAGCAGUGUAUGACCUCUUUGACUUUCCGCUCCAUGGCCCGACACCUCCACGAUUCGGCUGUGUGCCAGGCUCCAGGAUCACUCCUCACGCAUCUUGGGAAUCCAACCCAGGGCUUCAAAUAAAGGAACGACUGUCUGUCAGAGAUGCUGUGUUGGGGGACAUGUCGAUCCACAUCACCUCUGAAAUCCCUUCCAGUUAGUGUACCCUUUGAAUCUGUGACAUUCUGCACCCUCCAAGAGUCCGUCUACUUCUAAGAAAAUGAGACAAAGAGUUCUUUACAAAAUUGUUGGAGGAGGUCAUUGAAAGGACGUGACUGCUUGUUGACCCAUGAGCUGGACCUGGUCAGACAGAAGUUCCUCACCCUGUCCUUGGAAUGUACACUCUGCCCAUCAUUCCCACUCGAGAGAGCAAUGUGUUGUUGAGACCAUGAAGACUGAACAUGUGGCUGAACCCUGGUAAGGCCUCUAUAUAAACUUUCAAGAUCCUGGCAGGCGGGUGUGGAGAUCUUGUGGCCACCCAAGACAAGCUUUGUAUAUAAGUUCCCUUGCUUAUUAAAUCUGCCACCUACCAACCUGGAGUGGUCUGCCUCUUCCUUCAGUGGCUCCUUGCCUCUUGCCCUUGUAUGGGGCCAGUUUCAGAUUUCAUCUGGGGAGUUCCUGAGGUUUCGAACCAACAGAAG